This is a long non-coding RNA of Symsagittifera roscoffensis, 942 nucleotides long. RefSeq lists it as uncharacterized. Lineage: Eukaryota; Metazoa; Xenacoelomorpha; Acoela; Convolutidae. The record is from RefSeq and is a predicted model, not a curated record. The transcript has 4 exons.
UAUAAAAAUCACUAAGGAGUUGCACGUGCAAUUUCUUGCUGAUUAAAUAAUUAUGCACUGAGGUAUGAUUACAAAAUAAAUUAGCGAGCAAAAUAACCAGACUUUUUAAACGAUUUCGACUUUCAUAUGCAAGCAAUCAUCAAUUGUUUAACUUCUAAUUCACCCGUUUGUCGUUACUAUCAACAAAGUUUAAUUUGGCAUCUCGAUCUUCUGAAUUUCAACCACUGAAAAAGCAAGGAAAGGUUUGGCGAGCUAUAUGGACAAUCUUCCUAGCGGCGAGCGACUGGAUCCGUCAGAUGCACCAUUGAAAUUAAGAAAACGCGACGACACUCAAGAUUUGUUUAAUUGGGAGAAUAUCGUGACAUUAACAAAAUCGGACUUUCGUGCUUUUCUGAAGCUACGACUGCUAACCGGCAAUGACUUGACGGACUUUCAUCACGACCUGAACAAUAUAAUCCGUCUUCGGCUUCCCAGUGAUUGUCUAAUGCGACUUGAUUUCGUUAAGCAUAUGCAAAUAUUUAUUCUCAAUUGUGCCACAAAGUUCGAGAUAAACGAACAAGACUUUCAAAAUUCCAACCAAGACUUUAUCAAUGGCUUGACUCGUCUGAUUGGAAAGCAGUGGCUUCCUGAAGUUCACGAUCAAAUGCGCACUCUUCUUCUGGCCCUGAGUUUUAAGGCUCGUGGUCAAGAGCAGAGGAACAGGAGGAAGGAGAUUGACUGGAAUGUCGAACUAAAUGAAUACCUUCAAGAUUUGAGGGAUAUUCUCAUAAAGUUAAGGGUGUCACAGUUACGAGGUCACUAGUGUAUAUCAACAAAACUCAACAAACUUGUAUUUGUACCCGUAUAAAAUUUUGAAUGUAUAAUGAGGAUGGUGAUGAUGAAUUUCACUCAGAUAAUGAUUUUAUUAAAGACGAAGUGUUAAUAAAAAAGGGUAAUUUAAUU